Molecule: ribosomal RNA, 253 nt
Filed under: uncultured bacterium
Lineage: Bacteria
Description: partial 16S ribosomal RNA
Rfam family: Bacterial small subunit ribosomal RNA
Source: RNAcentral
UACGGAGGGUGCGAGCGUUAUCCGGAAUUACUGGGCGUAAAGGGCGUGUAGGUGGUUUGGUAAGUUGGUGGUGAAAACUCAUGGCUUAACUAUGGAAGUGCGAGUGAUACGGGUUGACUGGAGUGCUGCAGAGGAGAGCGGAAUAUCUGGUGUAGCGGUGAAAUGCGUAGAUAUCACAUAGAACACCGAUGGCGAAGGCGGGUUUCUAGGCGGUAAUUGACGCUGAGGCGCGAAAGCGUGGGGAGCGAACAGG